This 427-nucleotide ribosomal RNA is filed under the name uncultured bacterium. Its description in RNAcentral is "bacterial SSU rRNA". It matches the Rfam family "Bacterial small subunit ribosomal RNA", at positions 355 to 774 of the family's 1533-position model. The record is from RNAcentral.
UGGGGAAUUUUGGACAAUGGACGCAAGUCUGAUCCAGCCAUGCCGCGUGCGGGAAGAAGGCCUUCGGGUUGUAAACCGCUUUUGUCAGGGAAGAAACGAGUUUCUCUAAUACAGAGACUUAAUGACGGUACCUGAAGAAUAAGCACCGGCUAACUACGUGCCAGCAGCCGCGGUAAUACGUAGGGUGCAAGCGUUAAUCGGAAUUACUGGGCGUAAAGCGUGCGCAGGCGGUUAUGCAAGACAGAUGUGAAAUCCCCGGGCUCAACCUGGGACCUGCAUUUGUGACUGCAUAGCUAGAGUACGGCAGGGGGGGAUGGAAUUCCGCGUGUAGCAGUGAAAUGCGUAGAUAUGCGGAGGAACACCGAUGGCGAAGGCAAUCCCCUGGGCCUGUACUGACGCUCAUGCACGAAAGCGUGGGGAGCAAACA